RNAcentral lists this ribosomal RNA (587 nucleotides) under uncultured bacterium. Its description in RNAcentral is "bacterial SSU rRNA". It matches the Rfam family "Bacterial small subunit ribosomal RNA", at positions 338 to 917 of the family's 1533-position model. The record is from RNAcentral.
CCUACGGGAGGCAGCAGUGGGGAAUAUUGGACAAUGGGCGCAAGCCUGAUCCAGCCAUACCGCGUGUGUGAAGAAGGCCUUCGGGUUGUAAAGCACUUUAAGUAAGGAAGAAAAGAGUAUUGUUAAUACCAAUACUCCGUGACAUUACUUACAGAAUAAGGACCGGCUAAUUCCGUGCCAGCAGCCGCGGUAAUACGGAAGGUCCAAGCGUUAAUCGGAAUUACUGGGCGUAAAGCGCGCGUAGGUGGUUUAUUAAGUUGGGUGUGAAAGCCCCGGGCUCAACCUGGGAACUGCAUCCAAAACUGAUUCACUAGAGUACGAAAGAGGAAAGUAGAAUUCACAGUGUAGCGGUGGAAUGCGUAGAUAUUGUGAAGAAUACCGAUGGCGAAGGCAGCUUUCUGGUUCUGUACUGACACUGAGGUGCGAAAGCGUGGGUAGCGAACAGGAUUAGAUACCCUGGUAGUCCACGCCGUAAACGAUGACAACUAGCUGUUGGGAAGCUAUGCUUUUCAGUGGCGCAGCUAACGUCUUAAGUUGUCCGCCUGGGGAGUACGGCCGCAAGGUUAAAACUCAAAUGAAUUGACGGA